CUAUACAUGCAAGUCGAACGGUGUCUUCGGACAUAGAGGAGCGCGGGUGCGUAACACGUUUGCUACCUACCUUACCUUGGGGGAUAGCCUUUCGAAAGGGAGAUUAAUACCUCAUAAAACAGUAACUAGGCAUCUAGCAGCUGAUCAAGAUUUAUCGAUGUAUGCUGGGGAUGCAACCAAUUAUCUGGUUGGUGAGGUAAUGGCUCACCAAGGCUAUAAUUGGUGGGGGAACUGAGAGGUCAAUCCCCCACACUGUCACUGAGAUACGGGCCACACUCCUACAGGAGGCACCACUAGGGAAUAUUGGGCAAUGUACGCAAGUCUGACCCACCCAUGCCGCGUGCGGGAUGAAAGCGUUAUGCGUUGUAAACUGGUUUUAUACCGGAACAAACAACUCUGGCCAGAUGCAUUGACGGCACUGUAUGAAUAAACACCGGCUAACUCCGUGCCUACAUCCCCGGUAAUACGGAGGGUGCAAGCGUUGUCCGGAUUUAUUGAGUUUAAAGGGUGCGCACGUGGUUUAUUAAGUCUGUGAUAAAAGACGGACGCUCAACGAUUGCACUGCCAUUGAGACUGGUAGACUUGAUUAAUGUAGACGUGGGCAGAAUUGAUAGAGUACCGGUGAAAUGCAUAGAUGUUAUCAUGAACUCCGAUUGCGUAAGCGGCUCACUUGGCUUUUACUGACACUCAUGCACGAAAGUGCGGGUAUCAGACGAGAUUAGAUACCCUGAUACUCCACACUGUCAA
Molecule: ribosomal RNA, 747 nt
Filed under: uncultured Flexibacteraceae bacterium
Lineage: Bacteria; Pseudomonadati; Bacteroidota; Cytophagia; Cytophagales; Cytophagaceae
Description: bacterial SSU rRNA
Rfam family: Bacterial small subunit ribosomal RNA
Source: RNAcentral